This 155-nucleotide ribosomal RNA is filed under the name Syzygospora pallida. Its description in RNAcentral is "5.8S ribosomal RNA". It matches the Rfam family "5.8S ribosomal RNA". From Rfam's summary of the family: 5.8S ribosomal RNA (5.8S rRNA) is a component of the large subunit of the eukaryotic ribosome. Lineage: Eukaryota; Fungi; Basidiomycota; Tremellomycetes; Tremellales; Syzygosporaceae. The record is from RNAcentral.
AACUUUCAACAACGGAUCUCUUGGCUCUUGCAUCGAUGAAGAACGCAGCGAAAUGCGAUAAGUAAUGUGAAUUGCAGAAUUCAGUGAAUCAUCGAAUCUUUGAACGCACCUUGCGCUCCUUGGUAUUCCGAGGAGCAUGCCUGUUUGAGUGUCAU